UUACUUUUCGGUAAUAAAUAUCAAACAGGUUGACUCGUCUCCUUAUCUCCACUCUCAAAUCUUUGGCAUAACCUUACUUGUUACUACACCUUAUCCUUUUCAAAGCACCUCAUAUCAAGAGAGCUUUUAACCAUGUCUGGCUCUGCUUCUUCCCUUUCUCUAUCUUCAUUCAAUCCUAAAUCUCUUCCUCCUCCAUCUUUCCAGGUCCGCCUCCGUCUUACCUCCUUCCCUCUCCUUCAAACUCC
This 245-nucleotide long non-coding RNA is filed under the name Brassica rapa (field mustard). RNAcentral describes it as "long non-coding RNA (BRAP_LNC002701)". Lineage: Eukaryota; Viridiplantae; Streptophyta; Magnoliopsida; Brassicales; Brassicaceae. The record is from RNAcentral.